AUUCAUGGCAGGGAUUCGAAACCGGGGCGCACGCGUGGCAAGCGAGCAUUCUACCACUGAACCACCGAUGGU
Cordylochernes scorpioides is the source of this 72-nucleotide non-coding RNA. The record is from the annotation of a GenBank genome assembly. Lineage: Eukaryota; Metazoa; Arthropoda; Arachnida; Pseudoscorpiones; Chernetidae.